CUCGUAGGCGGUUCGUCGCGUCCGGUGUGAAAGUCCAUCGCUUAACGGUGGAUCCGCGCCGGGUACGGGCGGGCUUGAGUGCGGUAGGGGAGACUGGAAUUCCCGGUGUAACGGUGGAAUGUGUAGAUAUCGGGAGGAACACCAAUGGCGAAGGCAGGUCUCUGGGCCGUUACUGACGCUGAGGAGCGAAAGCGUGGGGAGCGAACA
This 207-nucleotide ribosomal RNA is filed under the name uncultured bacterium. RNAcentral's name for it is "partial 16S ribosomal RNA". It matches the Rfam family "Bacterial small subunit ribosomal RNA", at positions 568 to 774 of the family's 1533-position model. The record is from RNAcentral.